Molecule: ribosomal RNA, 213 nt
Organism: Actinoplanes awajinensis subsp. mycoplanecinus
Lineage: Bacteria; Bacillati; Actinomycetota; Actinomycetes; Micromonosporales; Micromonosporaceae
Rfam family: Bacterial large subunit ribosomal RNA
Source: Rfam
GAGUGCGUAAUAGCUCACUGGUCAAGUGGUUCCGCGCCGACAAUGUAGCGGGGCUCAAGCACACCGCCGAAGCUGUGGCAUUCAUACUUUACCCGGCUGGUCGACUUGUUCGGCUGGUCCAGGUGUGUGGAUGGGUAGGGGAGCGUCGUGUAGCGGGUGAAGCGGCGGAGUGAUCCAGCCGUGGACGCUACACGAGUGAGAAUGCAGGCAUGA